GACGAACGCUGGCGGCGUGCCUAACACAUGCAAGUCGAACGAGGUCCAGGGAAGCUUGCUUCCUGAAGACCUAGUGGCGAACGGGUGAGUAACACGUGAGAAACCUGCCUCGGAGUGGGGAAUAACUCGGGGAAACUCGAGCUAAUACCGCAUACCUUCACAUGAUCGCAUGGUCGAGUGAAGAAAGAAUUUCGCUCUGAGAGGGUCUCGCGGCCUAUCAGCUUGUUGGUGGGGUAACGGCCUACCAAGGCAACGACGGGUAGCUGGUUUGAGAGAACGAUCAGCCACACUGGGACUGAGACACGGCCCAGACUCCUACGGGAGGCAGCAGUGGGGAAUCUUGCGCAAUGGGCGAAAGCCUGACGCAGCAACGCCGCGUGCGGGAUGACGGCCUUCGUGGUUGUAACCGCUUUCAGCAGGGACGAAAAUGACGGUACCUG
Molecule: ribosomal RNA, 440 nt
Filed under: uncultured bacterium
Lineage: Bacteria
Description: bacterial SSU rRNA
Rfam family: Bacterial small subunit ribosomal RNA
Source: RNAcentral